UCGGAAUUACGACUUCUCACGUUCCGAAUGGACAUCCUAUCAUCGGUGUUAACUUUCAAAACAACAAUUAUAUUUUGCAUAUUUAUAAUUUUAUUCUAUGAUAUAUUCUUUUAUUUUCUGUAUGCACCUACAUAUAUAUAUUAUACUUAAAUAUUUUAUUUCCAUUACAUACCUAACUUAUUCUUGUUACUAAAAAUACAUUUUUAUUUACUUCUAUUUACUUAACUCAUUUUUAUAUAAUUA
RNAcentral lists this long non-coding RNA (243 nucleotides) under Theobroma cacao (cacao). RNAcentral's name for it is "long non-coding RNA (TCAC_LNC001427)". Lineage: Eukaryota; Viridiplantae; Streptophyta; Magnoliopsida; Malvales; Malvaceae. The record is from RNAcentral.